RNAcentral lists this ribosomal RNA (1365 nucleotides) under metagenome. RNAcentral's name for it is "bacterial LSU rRNA". It matches the Rfam family "Bacterial large subunit ribosomal RNA", at positions 1550 to 2925 of the family's 2925-position model. The record is from RNAcentral.
CUAAGAUUGAGCUGUGAUGGGGAAGCACUUUCGAGUGCGAAGUACCUGAUGUCACACUGCCAAGAAAAUCUUCUAGCGUUUAAUUAUAACCUACCCGUACCGCAAACCGACACAGGUAGUCGAGGCGAGUAGCCUCAGGUGAGCGAGAGAACUCUCGUUAAGGAACUCGGCAAAAUGACCCCGUAACUUCGGGAGAAGGGGUGCUCUACAUUUGUAGAGCCGCAGUGAAUAGGCCCAAGCGACUGUUUAUCAAAAACACAGCUCUCUGCUAAAUCGUAAGAUGAUGUAUAGGGGGUGACGCCUGCCCGGUGCUGGAAGGUUAAGAGGAGUGCUUAGCGUAAGCGAAGGUAUGAAUUGAAGCCCCAGUAAACGGCGGCCGUAACAAUAACGGUCCUAAGGUAGCGAAAUUCCUUGUCGGGUAAGUUCCGACCCGCACGAAAGGCGUAACGAUUUGGGCACUGUCUCAACGAGAGACUCGGUGAAAUUUUAGUACCUGUGAAGAUGCAGGUUACCCGCGACAGGACGGAAAGACCCCAUGGAGCUUUACUGCAAGUUGAUAUUGAGUAUCUGUUGCACAUGUACAGGAUAGGUAGGAGCCAUUGAUCUGAGGACGCUAGUUUUCAGUGAGGCGAUGUUGGGAUACUACCCUUGUGUCAUGGCUACUCUAACCCGCAUGCCUAAUCGGCAUGGGAGACAGUGUCUGCUGGGCAGUUUGACUGGGGCGGUCGCCUCCUAAAGAGUAACGGAGGCGCUCAAAGUUUCCCUCAGCAUGGUUGGAAAUCAUGCGUAGAGUGUAAAGGUAUAAGGGAGAUUGACUGCGAGACUUACAAGUCGAGCAGGUACGAAAGUAGGACUUAGUGAUCCGGUGGUACCGCAUGGAAGGGCCAUCGCUCAACGGAUAAAAGCUACCCUGGGGAUAACAGGCUUAUCUCCCCCAAGAGUUCACAUCGACGGGGAGGUUUGGCACCUCGAUGUCGGCUCGUCGCAUCCUGGGGCUGUAGUCGGUCCCAAGGGUUGGGCUGUUCGCCCAUUAAAGCGGCACGCGAGCUGGGUUCAGAACGUCGUGAGACAGUUCGGUCCCUAUCCGUCGCGGGCGUAGGAAAUUUGAGAGGAUCUGCCCUUAGUACGAGAGGACCGGGGUGGACUUACCGCUGGUGUACCAGUUGUCUUGCCAAAGGCAUCGCUGGGUAGCUAUGUAGGGAACGGAUAAACGCUGAAAGCAUCUAAGUGUGAAACCAACCUCAAGAUGAGAUUUCCCAUUCUUUAUGAAUUAAGAGCCCUGAGAGAUGAUCAGGUAGAUAGGCUAGAAGUGGAAGGACAGUGAUGUUUGGAGCGGACUAGUACUAAUAGCUCGAGGACUUUACC